UACAGAGGUCUCGAGCGUUAGGCGGAAUUACUGGGCGUAAAGCGCGUGUAGGCUGCUCAGCAAGUCGGAUGUGAAAGCCCUGGGCUUAACCUAGGAAGUGCAUUCGAAACUUCUGAGCUAGAGUUCUGGAGAGGAAGGCGGAAUUCUCGGUGUAGAGGUGAAAUUCGUAGAUAUCGAGAGGAACACCGGUGGCGAAGGCGGCCUUCUGGACAGUGACUGACGCUGAGACGCGAAAGCGUGGGGAGCAAACAGG
Molecule: ribosomal RNA, 253 nt
Filed under: uncultured bacterium
Lineage: Bacteria
Description: partial 16S ribosomal RNA
Rfam family: Bacterial small subunit ribosomal RNA
Source: RNAcentral